RNAcentral lists this ribosomal RNA (142 nucleotides) under Pezizales sp. RNAcentral describes it as "partial small subunit ribosomal RNA". It matches the Rfam family "Eukaryotic small subunit ribosomal RNA", at positions 1405 to 1544 of the family's 1831-position model. The record is from RNAcentral. Lineage: Eukaryota; Fungi; Ascomycota; Pezizomycetes; Pezizales.
GGCUUCUUAGAGGGACUAUUGGUGCUUUAAGCCAAUGGAAGUUUGAGGCAAUAACAGGUCAGUGAUGCCCUUCGAUGUCUUGGGCCGCGCGCGCGCUACACUGACAGAGCCAACGAGUACAUCACCUUGGCCGGAAGGUCUG